Molecule: ribosomal RNA, 500 nt
Filed under: uncultured bacterium
Lineage: Bacteria
Description: partial 16S ribosomal RNA
Rfam family: Bacterial small subunit ribosomal RNA
Source: RNAcentral
AUUGAACGCUGGCGGAAUGCUUUACACAUGCAAGUCGAACGGCAGCACGGGGGCAACCCUGGUAGUGAGUGGCGAACGGGUGAGUAAUAUAUCGGAACGUGCCCAGUCGUGGGGGAUAACGUAGCGAAAGUUACGCUAAUACCGCAUACGAUCUAAGGAUGAAAGCGGGGGAUCGCAAGACCUCGCGCGAUUGGAGCGGCCGAUAUCAGAUUAGGUAGUUGGUGGGGUAAAGGCUCACCAAGCCAACGAUCUGUAGCUGGUCUGAGAGGACGACCAGCCACACUGGAACUGAGACACGGUCCAGACUCCUACGGGAGGCAGCAGUGGGGAAUUUUGGACAAUGGACGCAAGUCUGAUCCAGCCAUUCCGCGUGCAGGAUGAAGGCCCUCGGGUUGUAAACUGCUUUUGUACGGAACGAAAAGGUCUCUCUUAAUACGGGGGGCUCAUGACGGUACCGUAAGAAUAAGCACCGGCUAACUACGUGCCAGCAGCCGCGGUAA